GAAGGUUUUCGUUCAUUUUCCUCAAAAUUUCUUCACUUCUUCCACUUUUUUGUUCGCCAAGUCCAUUGCGCUAAGGCUUUAUUAUUUCUUCGAAAAUUAAUUGAUUUAUGUCCGGAUCGGAAAUAAUAAUAUUUUCCAGUUUUCACAACACUGAACUGACCGGGAUAAGGAGUUCCAGAGAAAACCCAGAGAAUACAGACAAAUAGAGAAACUCCUACAAGAAUAAAAAAUGAAAUUCUGGCCUUCCUGGGAUAAACGCGUGUUUAGAAUAAUUUCCUGGACCAAUAUCUCCAUAAGUAUAGCUUAACUGCGAGUAUUUAUAAUAAAAACGAUUCAAUAAUAAUAA
Eupeodes corollae is the source of this 346-nucleotide long non-coding RNA. RefSeq lists it as uncharacterized. The record is from RefSeq and is a predicted model, not a curated record. NCBI's taxonomy places the organism in Eukaryota, Metazoa, Arthropoda, Insecta, Diptera, Syrphidae. The transcript has 2 exons.